This is a long non-coding RNA of Pomacea canaliculata, 1234 nucleotides long. RefSeq lists it as uncharacterized. The record is from RefSeq and is a predicted model, not a curated record. The transcript is spliced from 4 exons. Lineage: Eukaryota; Metazoa; Mollusca; Gastropoda; Architaenioglossa; Ampullariidae.
CCAUCACAGCGGGGUCAGCGUUAGUGUGAUCUCUUGACCUUUCUUUACUGGUUCUAUCACAGAAAAACCAUAAAAAUGAAAAGAGAAUAUAGAUAAAGGGAAAACCUUUGUGUCGCGAGCUUACAAGUUUCUGUCGGGGAUACUCGCAAAGUGACGGUGGAAUCGUGAAUGCUUUUUGAGCUCGUUAAAAGUUGUACUUUAGAUGACGCAUAGGUCUAAUCAAGAACCUUUCAAAUCCCCAUUUAUACUCGGACACUCAGGCCUAACUCCUGACCCAUUUUGCACCUGGAAGGAUGUUUACUUAUACGUGACGACGAUUAAUUCUUUAUAUUUGAGAGCUUUGUGUAGCAGAUGUGUUUUGUUUUUAUCAUUUAGCCCAACAAGAUUACACUUCUGAACAACCUAGUCAUUUUUUGGUUAGAAGAAUACGCCGGGAUAUUAAUGUAUGUUUAUUUUCAUCUCUCCGCCUUUGCUUGACACAGCUGAAAGUAGAGGUUAUAAUUGUCACAGAAUUACCUGGAGUGGUAGGCCUACGCGCACGUGCAAGGAGGAAUGAGCGUGAAUGACGUCAGUUUGUCUGAAUGCGUAGAUGCAUGAUGUAAAAAUACGUGUGACGCAGGAGAGAGUGGUUGGCUGGUCGUGAGAAGAACGUUGGUUGGCAGACGGUAAAGGAACGAAUACAGGAGGAACUGUGAGGAAAUUUUUGUGGUCUACAGAGACGACGAUCUGUACUCCCACUCUCUUUCAAAGGGAGGGACAAGGGCGUCACUGCUGUCUCGAGGGUUGAGGUCGAAAAGGUCAGCUUCUUCGAUAUUUUUCCGCCACCCGAGGACCUCUUCAAUGAUGGCCGUGUAUAGAGGGACGAAGUCGCAUAAUGUCAACAAGCUCCAGAAGACAAACUGUAAACCGGAGGUGAUGACGUGGCGACGACGUUCAUGCUGUGGGGUGCAACAACAGCGACUCACAUACGACACCAGCCGCAGGGCGCUGGACAGGUAGAUGACCACCGGAAGCACGUCACUGCCUCUGUCUGUCGACAGUUUGAAGUCUUGUACCAAUGACAACAGCGCCACCAUGCUCAGUGUCAAGCUGAAAAACUGUCGGCAUGGAAACAGCUUAAAGGUAUUGUCUACAGUACUGGAAGCUGUCGUCUUUUAGCAGUGCUGAUGUGACUGUUAUCAUUCAUCACUUGACUUUAUUAAUUUAUUGUGAAAUAUUAAAGGAAGGAACAACA